Molecule: long non-coding RNA, 2086 nt
Filed under: Homo sapiens (human)
Lineage: Eukaryota; Metazoa; Chordata; Mammalia; Primates; Hominidae
Description: HSALNT0162370
Source: RNAcentral
GCCCAUUUCCAAUCUUGAUAUUUAUUUUCUAUUGCCUUUCACUCCUUGCAGGUACCACUAUCUAAGGCUCAGAGAAUGUAAAUCACUUGCUUAAGGAAAUUCAGUGAAGAAUGGCCCAAAGCUCAUACAUUUUCCUGCUACACUGCUGUACCCCAGCUGGGCCCUUGAAGAUUGGCAUUCUCGAAUCAAAUGAAAAUGGAUUCCUCACAUUUUUCCAUGUGUGUGUGGAUGUUUAUGGGAAGAGGUGUUGGUGAGAAGAGACUGGUUGGGGCCAGACUGCCUCCAGAUUGCCCCAUGUCUGCUAUAAUGGCUGGACUGGCUGAGUCCUCAGCGGAUGCCAGAGACUGGGCUGUGCGUGUGCACAGGCAGACCUAUCUGUGAUUCUUGCAGUUCAUUCUACACUACAGAGAUUGAUAGAGGUCGCUCUCCUUCACUUAGAACUCUCUGGAUUUUAAACAGUCCCGAGGUUGUGUUACAUUGUUAUUGGAUGUGAUUUUCCAAAACCACGCUUCACUUUGAGUUUGCAUCAUGGUUGGGCAGCCUCCCCCACUACUUCAGAGGAAGAAGAUGGAGACCAGAUGAAGAGUUAGUAAAUAUACACAUAUAGCCUUUGCACAUUUCCUCUCUGAUUUUUGGCCUCAUGGGUUCAGUAAUCCUGGAAAUAUUUGAACUUGGCACUGCAAAUUCCAAGGGGCAUUGGUUACUGGAGGCCAGUGCUUGAAGCCUCUCCUGCUAAAACCCCAACACCAAAGAAAAUAUCUCAAGGCUACCAUGGGAACUCACUGCAUGUUCAGCCAAUCAGAUCUUUGGGAGGAGGGUUCAAACCCUCUCCUUUGGCUAAGCCUGUCCGAUGCAGUGGGAGAGCUGCCAGCCGGCUUCCCCUGUGCCUAGCAUGGAGCUCAGCACAUGAAUAGCUGUCAGCAACUGAAAGGAAAAUAAUUUGGCCAUCAGAAGAGAACUAGCCACUGUCACUGUCCAAAUGGUAAAGGGAUAAACAGCAAAAUGGUUCACCUCCAGUGGAUCCACUUCCAAAAGAUGACAAUCUGCAUGCACUUUGGGUUAUGAAACUCCAGCUCUAGUGGAAGCCAACUGCCAUGGGAGAGACCCAUAAGAAGAGCUCCACAUGGCAAAGAAGCGAUGUCUCCAGUCAACAGCCACGUGAGUGAACUUGGGAGCACACAGUCCCCCAAGCAAGCCUUGAGAUGACCACAGCCCCAGCCAACGCCUUGAAGUAGGCUUGCUGGAGAUCUGAAUCUGAAGCAUCCAACUAAACUGUGCCUCGACUCCUGACUCAGAAACCUUGAGAUAAUACGUUUGCUAUUUUAAGCCAAAUAGUUUUGGCAUAAUUUGUUAUGCGAAAAUAACUAAUAUAAUUACCAUAGAUUAGUUUUGUCCUUGAAUUUCAGAAAAAUGAAAUAAUACAGUAUAUAUUCUGUCAUACCGGGUUUUAUUUGUUUAACAGUAUGUCUAUAAGAUUCAUUCAUGUUGACGUAUGGGUCAGUAGUUCAUUGUAUGAAUAUAGGACAAUUCUUCCAUUUUCCUGUUGGUAAACAUAUGGGUUAUUUCUAGUAUUAUGCUUUUUUGAAUAAAGUUGAAAAAAGGUGCUAUGAACAUUCUUUUACAAGUCUUUCUAUGAAACUAUUUUUUCAUUUUUUUAGGUAAAUACCCAUGAGUCCAAUUGCUCAGCCACUGUUAGUUAAUCUUAGAAGAAACUUCAAAAUGGAUUCCAAAGUGGCUAUAACCCUUUUCAACUUCUUUUUCAAAGUGUUAAGAUUUCCUUUUAUUUACCUUUUCUCCUUUUUUGAGCUUCUUUAGGUAAAAACUUAGAUCAUUGAUUUUUAAUUCUUCCUUCUUUCUAAUAUUAGCAUUUAAAGUUAUAAAUUGCUCACUAAGCAUUGCUUAAUUGCAUUCCACAAAUUUUGAUAUGUUGUGUUUUAAAGUGUCAUUUGGUUAAAAAUAUUUUCUAAAUUCUAACUUUUCAUUCUUCCCCAGAGGUAGAUUAUUUUGAAGUAUACCUCUUGAUUUUCAUAUAUUUGAGAUUUUUAUAUUUAUUGUUAUUGAUUUCUAAUGUCACUGUAGUCAGAAA